This 64-nucleotide transfer RNA is filed under the name uncultured Phascolarctobacterium sp. It matches the Rfam family "tRNA", at positions 6 to 65 of the family's 71-position model. From Rfam's summary of the family: Transfer RNA (tRNA) molecules are approximately 80 nucleotides in length. Their secondary structure includes four short double-helical elements and three loops (D, anti-codon, and T loops). Lineage: Bacteria; Bacillati; Bacillota; Negativicutes; Acidaminococcales; Acidaminococcaceae. The record is from RNAcentral.
UGGUAGCUCAGUCGGAUAGAGCAACGGCCUUCUAAGCCGUGGGUCGGGGGUUCGAAUCCCUCCC